Cherax quadricarinatus is the source of this 5579-nucleotide non-coding RNA. The record is from RefSeq and is a predicted model, not a curated record. Lineage: Eukaryota; Metazoa; Arthropoda; Malacostraca; Decapoda; Parastacidae.
GUUGUGUGUUGCUUAGACACUCUGAACAUCUCAGGUCCUUAGCUAUAGCUUCUGACCUAAUUUGUACUGGUUUCUGUGUAUUGUCACAGUCAGGGUUUUUCCUAUGCUGAACUUAGAUUCAGUAGUAUGGGAGUUUUGUAACUUUUGUGGAGGAUCUGCUGAUGGUCCCUACUUAGUGUCGUUAUGUUAUCUCCUUGAUCCUGAUUGUGUCACAGUCGCUUGUUAUAUGGCUAUUGGGCUUAGCAUUCUUUUCAUUGUUCAAGCAGACUGUUCUGGUUGCCAGUCGGUCAAGAAGUUAGUUUAUGUGAGGACUUUGUCAGUCACUUGUUUAAGUCUAGUCGAGUCGUGAGACAUAGAAAAUGUACAGAGAACUUUCACGGCGCGCAUAACGGAGAUAAAACACCUCAAUUACUGGGAGCGCUUGAGGUUCCUAAACCUGUAUUCCCUGGAACGCAGGAGGGAGAGAUACAUGAUUAUAUACACCUGGAAAAUCCUAGAGGGACUAGUACCGAACUUGCACACGAAAAUCACUCACUACGAAAGCAAAAGACUUGGCAGACGAUACACCAUCCCCCCAAUGAAAAGCAGGGGUGUCACUAGCACGUUAAGAGACAAUACAAUAAGUGUCAGGGGCCCGAGACUGUUCAACUGCCUCCCAGCACACAUAAGGGGGAUUACCAACAGACCCCUGGCAGUCUUCAAGCUGGCACUGGACAAGCACCUAAAGUCAGUUCCUGAUCAGCCGGGCUGUGGCUCGUACGUUGGUUUGCGUGCAGCCAGCAGCAACAGCCUGGUUGAUCAGGCUCUGAUCCACCAGGAGGCCUGGUCACGGACCGGGCCGCGGGGGCGUUGACUCCCGGAACUCUCUCCAGGUAAACUCCAGGUAAACUUAGAGCACUUACACACAUGUUGUUAGGUAAGACACAAAUGCAACAGUUAGACAACUUUAUUCCGAAACGUUUCGCCUACACAGUAGGCUUCUUCAGUCGAAUACAGAAAGUAGGCAGGAACAGUAGAGAUGUGAAGACGAUGUAAUCAGUCCAUCACUUACCUAACAACCUGUCGGUAUUGUAUACCAUUUUGAUGUUCACUUACACACAUACACACUUACUUGUACAUAUUUGUAAUAUCUUAUUAAAUGUUAAUGUACCAGACGGUACUUAAGAAUUAUAAAUGUGAUAUGUGCUUUCAGCACAAUAAUAUUGAACUCGAGAGAUUGAUAUUAUUUUGAUUACUGUGAUUAAUUUAAUUUAAUUUAAUUUGAUAAUAUACCUCUAGACUUAAUAAAUUUAUUAAAUUUUAAUUUCUCUAGUUAGUAGCCUACCAGUUGUAAUCCUGAAGCACUAUUGAAUAAUACUGAAUUUUAAUGGAUAAUUGGACAAGGAUACUGACUACUUGUUACGAAAACCCAGUAACAGGCUGGAUGCUAGAAGGGCAGUCCUUUCUAGUAUUCACUGGAGAUCUCUAAGCUUUUAGAAUCGCGUUUUUUGUAACAGCCAAUCCCUCAGUUCUUAGAAGUUUUCCGUUAAAUAACUCAAAUCAAGGCUAAAGGACUGAUCACCUCAUCUUUGCCUCUCCACUGCUUCUGCUGUCUCCAAUAUUUAGUCACUUUUGUGUUCGCCUGAAGAAGCCUGCAGAGCAGGCGAAACCGUACGACAAUAAAGACAAUUGUCGCACAUAUGUUUUAUUCAUCUACUUGACUGUAUUGUACGUCAUUUGAAUAAUGAUGUCUGUGCUCUUCAGGAAAGGCAGCUGCAGAAAGAAUGACGGUGAAUAUAAUUCUUUCUUUGCGUUGCCCUAAUUUAAUGGGAAGCAGCCAAAUACAGUGGAACCUCGGUGUUUGAACUUAAGUGUUUCUAGGUGGUGUUCACUGCGAAAAUCUCAAUGUCGGAAACAGUAUUUGCCACGCUUAACUAUCAGCCUCACACACUGAAGGCAGGGCCGGAUUACCGCAUAGGCAAACUAGACAUUUGCCUAGGGCCCCGCGCAUUUGGGGGCCCCGCGCAUUUGGGGGCCCCGCGGUCCAAGGGGUUCAGGCGCUCAUCCAAGACUGCGCACAUGGUGCAAGUGCAAAGGGGUCCCUACCUAAAAAGUUCAAGUGUUUGGAGAGUAAAAUUGAUUUUUAAAAAUUAAUCAAAACAAAAAUAAAUAAUGAAAUAAAAUAAAAUAAAAAUAAAUAAACCUAACCAUAGAUGGCAACACUCAACACGCCUUUGUUUACAUCAGAACAGCUGUGUUUUCCCGCUAAUGGGUGAGUAUGGGAGAUUCCUCUCCAAUUUUCUGUAGUAAUUACACGUUAUCUAGACUUGUACUGUGACAAAUUAACUGAAGUGUUGUUGAUAGACAUUGAUGUGUAUGGAUAAAUGUUUGUUUUCGCCUCUAAAUGUUAAGGGAGGUACCUGAUAGGGUUACUUGACCAGUAAAGAUGCAUGGACCAGUAAAGACGCAUUUUUGGUAAAAAUACUAUAAAGAAAAACCUAAAAACGCAAACUGACUUCCGUUUGUAGGUUUUAAAAACACUUUGUCCUGUCUUUAAGUCUUUAUCAUUUCAAUAACAGAUCUCAAUUGAUUGAUGUUCUACAUCACUUCCGUCGCAAAUGCUUAGUUUUCAAGUUGCGACGGAAGUGAUGUAGAACAUCAAUUAAUUUACUACAUAUUUCCCCAGAAACACAUAAGCCACGUCUUGAGUUUAUUCUCUUUAAAAUGCAUGAUUUAACAAGAUAGUUAUAAUGGCUGUUGGUAAAUGGUUUUGGUUGUCUUGAUGUACUUUCCCUAUUAAAUUUAAUCUAAAUGGCCAGAAUGUAUUUAAUUAGACUUUAAACAGGCUCACACCGACCCCAACCCACCCCCAAGCUCCCCACCCCCAAGCUGGAAGGGGUCGCUUCGCUUACCGGUAACUCAAAGGGGCCCCGCCAAUCUGAAUAGCCUAGGGCCCGGAGACUUCUUAAUCUGGCCCUGGAUGAAGGAUGUUGAACCGACUCUUCCAAAAGUCUCUGAGAGUUAGAUCAGUGUCAGAGGUCACUUCGAAGCAAUUUUGAAACAAGGUUUUCGUGUAAAGUUUUUUAUAACUGCAUUUUAAACAAGCCCACGCGUUCGGACUCCAGGAAAACAUUCUAAGGCCGGGUUAAUUUUUUCUGAACAAAACUAUUCGAACUCAAGUUCAUUCGAGGUGCAGCACAUUCGAACACCGAAGUUCUACUGUACUGAAAAAGAAAAUUAUUAAAGUAAAUUCUAUGCGAGUUAAACACCUUUCGGAAAUAGCGACUAAUAUGUACAUUAUGAGUUGUGGAGGCUAUGACUAUGGUCCCCCUCAAGGAAGGUUCCUUGAUGUUGGUGAGGGGCUCUUGAUUUAGGGAAUUGGAUCUGUGCUCCAGUUCCCCAAAUUAAGCCUGAAUGCCUUCCACAUCCCCCCCCAGGCGCUGUAUAAUCCUCCGGGUUUAGCGCUUCCCCCUUGAUUGUAAUAAUAAUAAUAUGACUAUGGUCGACACGGUGGUGGACGCUACCAUGGCUUCACUGAUGUCCUCGGGUAAGUUAAAGUGAAGGAGCAAUUACUAAUAAAAUUCUUUAUGAAUCUGAGAAUAGUAACCGUCUUAUAAAUGAAUAAGUCACGAUAAAGGGGCUGUAAUAUUUCACAAAUAACCCACACUGGAAGAAACUAGAGAAGUUUCGGCCCAUCCUGGAGCAUUAUCAAGUGACAAGUGAGCGAGUAAAUAAGACUGGAAGAUAGGUCUGGAAGAGAGAGGGGAAAGAAAGUUACAACACAGGUCAGGUGAGGAAAAGAUAUCUUCAGCAGUAGUAGUAGUGGUAGUUACAGCAGUAGCGGUAGUGGUAGUAGUAGCAGCAGCAAUAUAUUAGUAGUAGUAGUAGUAGCAUCAGCAGCAGCACCACCACCAGUAGUAGUAGUAACUGAAAUCAGCAGUGAGUUGACCAUCUUGUUUUAUAAUACGCUGGGUGCUCUGAAGGAUGGGGUUGGAGGCUUUACCUUGUAAUAUCAUAUGAAUUAUGAGGUGUGUGCACUUGCGGAGACAGCUGCAGAAUGAGUGAAUGAAUGUGAUUCCUUCUUUGGGUUGCCCUAAUUUAAUAGGAAAUGGAAGAAUACUUUAACUCACAGAAUAUUUUCCGUGAGUUAAACAUCUUUCGGGAGUGUGACUAUAGUGACUAACAUGUAUGAGUGUAGCAGCUUCAGUGGUCGUGGCACUGGCUGGAACGACACCCGAGCACAACCACAUCUACAAGCAUCGUCCAUUGACGCCGUCCCUGAUGGACGUUUAAAUGUCUUCAUAAAAUUAUUCUCUGAUCAACAUUCAUCAGUAACAGACAAAUAAAAUAUGUGUUUUUCAUUGUUCGUUAAAUAUUCUUUCAUUAUAUAAUUGGACCUGCCUGGUAUAGGCCAGUAGGCCUAACGGAAUACUCAUUUACUCUCAAGUUCUUAAAUUUGUCUUAUAAAUUAGCCAUGACACAUAAAUACAGUUAAUAUAAUCAAGUAAGUGUAUAAUAAUAAAGCUAAGUCAUACCGAAUGAAAACCACUGGACCUUAAACUGAUUAGAAAGUAUAAUGUAUUGAUGAUUAACAAACAUGUGCAACAGUUAUUGUUGAAAAGUUUCGCUGACACAAUAGGCUUCUCCAGUCAAAUAUAGAGGCAACAGGUGUAGCCGUGAAAUGAAGACGAUGUAAUCAGUCCAUCAACCUUGUAGAAAUAGUAUUUGAGGUGGUUAGUCCCUCAGCCUGGAGAAAAGUUCAGCUCCAUGGAGCUGAGGUAAGUUUAGUCGGAAUAAGUGCAAGUUAUAUAAUUCACGAAGGAAGCGAAACUCGGAGACGGAGCAAACAACGAGAAAACGAAAAGGAUUUGGAGUAAAUAUUUUUGCCUCAUACACAGAAUAAGCAACAUCCUAACACACUGGGCAAGAGAGUCGUAGAGUCGAAAAUACCCGGAGGUCAACUAUGGUACAUGAUCUUAGGUCAUGCCUGUAUUCCCCAUUUCAUGAAGAAAAUAUUAUCAUUAAACUGUUCCCAACAAAACAACUUUGAAAAAUACAAAAAAAAAACAAAACAAUUUUCCAUUAAAGCAUAAGUUGAGUUUAAUUAACUGUGCUCCAUAAAAUAGAAUUGCUAAGUAGCGUAACGUCACGAGAGGAUGUUGACGUGGAAGGAGAAGCAAAGGUAUAUAAAUAGUGGAGGAAUACCCAGACUAGCAUCAGUAGGUUCCCCUGACGCUGAAGAACUAAAAGGUACCUGUAGUCACCAUGAACUAUCUCCGAGUCUUGAUGAUCGUAGUGGUCAUGAUGGCUGCCGUGGGCGUGGCUAUGGCCUAUCCAGAGCCUGUUACUCCAGUGUUCCACCGUGGGUUUGGUGGUGGCAGAUUUACCGGUCGUGGUGGCUAAAAUGGGUAGAGAGGAGAAGUUGGGACGACGGCUGCACAGACGAACACCUAAACGACACCUGACUCUGAGAACUACCACAAUGAAGAGUGUCGUCCAGUCACGCUAGUUCUGAUAGCCAACACUUAAAGCUCUGCAAUGAAGUCUUCCUUGACCAACUCUUUAUGCAUAAUAAAUAUAUAUAAACAAACAAAAAUCAA